This is a long non-coding RNA of Corythoichthys intestinalis (scribbled pipefish), 1286 nucleotides long. RefSeq lists it as uncharacterized. NCBI's taxonomy places the organism in Eukaryota, Metazoa, Chordata, Actinopteri, Syngnathiformes, Syngnathidae. The record is from RefSeq and is a predicted model, not a curated record. The transcript has 2 exons.
GUCUUUGUUGAAAAUGCUAUAUGAAUUAGAUUGAGUUUCAUCCAUUUUAAAUCAUAAGAGAUUUGCAUGUUUUUGAAAUGCUCCAAGAAGCCGGAGUACCACGCAAACACUCUUUACGGAUUUGCACCUGGACUCUUGACCAUAAACACAAGAUUUUUGGCUUACCUGAAUUAUUGAUUUGGAAUUGAGUGCUGUGUAACUGUGAGGCAGCACCUCCAUCAUGAAAUGAUUCUAGGGAGGAAAAAAAGUAAUGGAAGGUAAAUUAAGGCACUGUACAUGAUGUUGAAAUAUGCAUUUCAAACAGUGUCCAGUUUAGGGUCUUCAUGUUGGUAGUUCUUAUCAGUUUUGGUCAUAGAGCGGAUAUAAUGACAAUUACCUCGUUUUGAGAACUCUCUAGAUGAUGAAAAGGACCAUGCUCCUCUUUGUCGUGAGACUCCACCUUCUUCAAAACUGUUGUUACUUUCUGCGGAGAGAAGUGGAAUUUCCAAUCAAAUGAAAGCUGAUUUUGUAAAUGAAAAUAUUGCGGUCCAUUGACGUGAACAGUCAGUGGUUCCCGCACUAGCUCACUUUUGAGACGUAACGAUGAAAAACUGAACCCCCUCCUCCAGUUUUGAGACUUUGGCUCCUUUGUACUCUAAAAGAAAAAGAAAAAAAUCCAUGUAUAAGAAUGAUUAAUGUGUGUAUGGACAGGCUGACCAAAAAAAUCAGGAACAUUAUAAAUGUUAAAACAUGCCAUUAGGAAAGAAUUAUGGAAUUUUCUUUUUUUUUUUAAAGUUACAUCCUUUAAAUCUGCUGUAGAGAUUCCUCACUGACCGCUGCAACAUAUUUGCUGGGAGACUUUGAAUUUCAUCCUGAAUUUAUCAUGCCUGCUACAGUAAAAUGGCAGAGUGUUUACUUGCUCAAGGUCACUGUGCUGCUACUUGCUCAUGUCCGCCAAUAUAAUAAAAAUGUUCCCACAGCAAACUGAUGCAAAAAUGUCAGGGACAUGACAAAGCCAUAAUCUUGUACGCCCUGAAAUUAAUCGAGCUGCUUGACUGGACGCUGAGUUACUAAAGCCAGACUGUUGAUUGUGUUAUUGUACAGUUUUGUGGCCAUUUGAUGUAUGUACCAUGUCUGAAUGUGCGUCUUUAGUUGUAUGGGGGACGGGAAUCUGAUAAGCAUAUGCUUCCUCCCGUCCGCCUUUGUCUUCUUAUUCGGUUCCUUCGGGCAAAUCAUAUCACAUUUUGUAAUUGUCAAUGAUUGUCAAUGAUACCGAUGAUGAUGACAUUAAAUUUCAUUUCAUUUCA